UUCCGGUUGAUCCUGCCGGAGGCUACCGCUAUUGGAGUUCGAUUAAGCCAUGCGAGUCGCGAGUCUUAGGGACUCGGCGUACCGCUCAGUAACACGUGGGUAACCUGCCCUAUGCUGGGGGAUAACCUCGGGAAACUGAGAAUAAUACCCCAUAGUUCACUACGCCUGGAACGGUGAGUGGAUGAAAGCUCCGGCGGCAUAGGAUGGGCCUGCGGCGUAUCAGGUCGUAGGGGGUGUAACGUACCCUCUAGCCAUCGACGCGUACGGGUGUUGGGAGACAUAGCCCGGAGAUGGAUUCUGAGACACGAAUCCAGACCCUACGGGGUGCAGCAGGCGCGAAAACUUGGCAAUGCGAGAAAUCGUGACCAGGGAACUCCAAGUGCAUCGGGUAAGACCGAUGCUUUUCUUGACUCUUCAAAGGUCUUGGAAUAAGGGGUGGGUAAGGACGGUGCCAGCCGCCGCGGUAAUACCGGCGCCCCAAGUGGUAGUCGCUUUUAUUGGGCCUAAAACGUCCGUAGCCGGUCUGGUACAUUCGUGGGUAAAUCAACCAGCUCAACUGGUUGAAUUCUGCGAGCACGGCCAGACUUGGGACCGGGAGAGGUGUGGGGUACUCUCAGGGUAGGGGUAAAAUCCUGUCAUCCUGAGAGGACCACCUGUUGCGAAGGCGCCACACUAGAACGGAUCCGACGGUCAGGGACGAAGCCUAGGGGCACGAACCGGAUUAGAUACCCGGGUAGUCCUAGGUGUAAACGCUGUGGACUUGAUGUUGGGGGCGCUCCGAGCGCACUCAGUGUCGAAGCGAAGGUGAUAAGUCCACUGCCUGGGGAGUACGGUCGCAAGGCUGAAACUUAAAGGAAUUGGCGGGGGAGCACCACAAGGGGUGAAGCCUGCGGUUCAAUUGGAUUCAACGCCGGA
This 915-nucleotide ribosomal RNA is filed under the name uncultured marine archaeon. RNAcentral's name for it is "bacterial SSU rRNA". It matches the Rfam family "Archaeal small subunit ribosomal RNA", at positions 1 to 922 of the family's 1478-position model. The record is from RNAcentral.